Molecule: unclassified non-coding RNA, 391 nt
Filed under: soil metagenome
Description: partial contains 5.8S ribosomal RNA, internal transcribed spacer 2, and large subunit ribosomal RNA
Rfam family: 5.8S ribosomal RNA (bases 2-122)
Source: RNAcentral
UAUGAAGAACGUAGCGAAAUGCGAUACUUGGUGUGAAUUGCAGAAUCCCGUGAACCAUCGAGUCUUUGAACGCAAGUUGCGCCCGAAGCCAUUAGGCCGAGGGCACGCCUGCCUGGGCGUCACACGUCGUUGCCCCCCCAUCUACUCCUUCGGGAUUGCGGGGGGCGGAUGAUGGCCUCCCGUGCGCCUCGUCGCGCGGUUGGCCUAAAUGCCAAGUCCUCGGCGACGCACGCCACGACAAUCGGUGGUUGCGAAACCUCGGUUGCCUGUCGUGUGCGGUCGUCGCGCAUCGAGGGCUCGAAAAAAUUGCCGGGCUUCGGCUCGACUUUCAACGCGACCCCAGGUCAGGCGGGGUUACCCGCUGAAUUUAAGCAUAUCAAUAAGCGGAGGA